This 46-nucleotide non-coding RNA is filed under the name Schistosoma margrebowiei. Lineage: Eukaryota; Metazoa; Platyhelminthes; Trematoda; Strigeidida; Schistosomatidae. The record is from RNAcentral.
UCACUGUUGAGGAGUCCCACAAUAGGACGAAACAGCUGUUCAGUGC